This 688-nucleotide ribosomal RNA is filed under the name uncultured marine archaeon. RNAcentral's name for it is "bacterial SSU rRNA". It matches the Rfam family "Archaeal small subunit ribosomal RNA", at positions 56 to 748 of the family's 1478-position model. The record is from RNAcentral.
AGUCGAGAGCUUUCGGAGCUCGGCAUACUGCUCAGUAACACGUGGGUAACCUGCCCUGUGCUGGGGGAUAACCUCGGGAAACUGAGAACAAUACCCCAUAGUCCACUACGCCUGGAACGGUGAGUGGAUGAAAGCCCCGGCGGCACAGGAUGGGCCUGCGGCGUAUCAGGUAGUAGGGGGUGUAAAGUACCCUCUAGCCUUCGACGCGUACGGGUUGUGAGAGCAAUAGCCCGGAGAUGGAUUCUGAGACACGAAUCCAGGUCCUACGGGACGCAGCAGUCGCGAAACCUUGACAAUGCGGGAAACCGUGAUCAGGGGACUCCAAGUGCCAGGAGUAAGAUCCUGUGCUUUUCUUUUCUCUUCAAGGGAUUUGGAAUAAGAGGUGGGUAAGGACGGUGCCAGCCGCCGCGGUAAUACCGGCGCCUCGAGUGGUAGUCGAUUUUAUUGGGCCUAAAACGUCCGUCGCCGGUCUGGUGCAUUCGUGGGUAAAUCAACCCGCUCAACGGGUUGAAUUCUGCGAGCACGGCCAGACUAGGGACCGGGAGAGGUGUGGGGUACGCUCGGGGUAGGGGUAAAAUCCUGUCAUCCCGAGCGGACCACCUGUUGCGAAGGCUCCACACUAGAACGGAUCCGACGGUCAGGGACGAAGCCUAGGGGCACGAACCGGAUUAGAUACCCGGGUAGUCCU